RNAcentral lists this ribosomal RNA (467 nucleotides) under uncultured bacterium. RNAcentral's name for it is "partial 16S ribosomal RNA". It matches the Rfam family "Bacterial small subunit ribosomal RNA", at positions 28 to 507 of the family's 1533-position model. The record is from RNAcentral.
GACGAACGCUGGCGGCGUGCUUAACACAUGCAAGUCGAACGGAAAGGCCUCUUUCGGGGGGUACUCGAGUGGCGAACGGGUGAGUAACACGUGAGUAACCUGCCCUUGACUUUGGGAUAACUUCAGGAAACUGGGGCUAAUACCGGAUAGGAGCUCCUGCUGCAUGGUGGGGGUUGGAAAGUUUCGGCGGUUGGGGAUGGACUCGCGGCUUAUCGGCUUGUUGGUGGGGUAGUGGCUUACCAAGGCUUUGACGGGUAGCCGGCCUGAGAGGGUGACCGGCCACAUUGGGGCUGAGAUACGGCCCAGACUCCUACGGGAGGCAGCAGUGGGGAAUAUUGCACAAUGGGUGGAAGCCUGAUGCAGCAACGCCGUGUGCGGGAUGACGGCCUUCGGGUUGUAAACCGCUUUCGCUCAUGACGAAGCUUUGUGUGACGGUAGUGGGUAAAGAAGCACCGGCUAACUACGUG